GGAGCUUUUCAGGUUAGGGGCAGGACAGAGAGGGAGGAGCUUGUCAGGUUAGGGGCAGGACAGAGAGGGAGGAGCUUGUCAGGUUAGGGGCAGGACAGAGAGGGAGGAGCUUGUCAGGGGCAGGACAGAGAGGGUGUCCCAGACUGCACCCUACUCCCUAAUAUAUACAGUACUCUGAGUCCCAAUGGCACCCUACUCCCUAAUAUAUACAGUACACUGAGUCCCAAUGGCACCCUAUUCCCUAAUAUAUACAGUACUCUGAUUCCCAAUGGCACCCUAUUCCCUAAUAUAUACAGUACACUGAGUCCCAAUGGCACCCUAUUCCCUAAUAUAUACAGUACACUGAUUCCCAAUGGCACCCUAUUCCCUAAAAAGUGUACUACUGCUGACCAGGGCCCGUAGGACUCUAGUUAAAAGUAGUGAACUAUAUAGGUUGGUC
Molecule: long non-coding RNA, 439 nt
Organism: Oncorhynchus tshawytscha (Chinook salmon)
Lineage: Eukaryota; Metazoa; Chordata; Actinopteri; Salmoniformes; Salmonidae
Source: Ensembl